This 479-nucleotide ribosomal RNA is filed under the name uncultured bacterium. Its description in RNAcentral is "partial 16S ribosomal RNA". It matches the Rfam family "Bacterial small subunit ribosomal RNA", at positions 28 to 507 of the family's 1533-position model. The record is from RNAcentral.
GAUGAACGCUAGCGGCAGGCCUAACACAUGCAAGCCGAGCGGUAUUGUUUCUUCGGAAAUGAGAAAGCGGCGUACGGGUGCGUAACACGUGUGCAACCUGCCUUUAUCUGGGGGAUAGCCUUUCGAAAGGAAGAUUAAUACUCCAUAAUAUAUUGAACGGCAUCGUUUAAUAUUGAAAGCUCCGGCGGAUAGAGAUGGGCACGCGCAAGAUUAGCUAGUUGGUGAGGUAACGGCUCACCAAGGCGAUGACCUUUAGGGGGCCUGAGAGGGUGAUCCCCCACACUGGUACUGAGACACGGACCAGACUCCUACGGGAGGCAGCAGUGAGGAAUAUUGGUCAAUGGGUGCAAGCCUGAACCAGCCAUCCCGCGUGAAGGACGACUGCCCUAUGGGUUGUAAACUUCUUUUGUAUAGGGAUAAACCUACCCUCGGGAGGGUAGCUGAAGGUACUAUACGAAUAAGCACCGGCUAACUCCGUG